GGGACACGUGGUAUCCUGUCUGAAUAUGGGGGGACCAUCCUCCAAGGCUAAAUACUCCUGACUGACCGAUAGUGAACCAGUACCGUGAGGGAAAGGCGAAAAGAACCCCGGCGAGGGGAGUGAAAAAGAACCUGAAACCGUGUACGUACAAGCAGUGGGAGCCUCUUUAUGGGGUGACUGCGUACCUUUUGUAUAAUGGGUCAGCGACUUAUAUUCUGUAGCAAGGUUAACCGAAUAGGGGAGCCGAAGGGAAACCGAGUCUUAACUGGGCGUUAAGUUGCAGGGUAUAGACCCGAAACCCGGUGAUCUAGCCAUGGGCAGGUUGAAGGUUGGGUAACACUAACUGGAGGACCGAACCGACUAAUGUUGAAAAAUUAGCGGAUGACUUGUGGCUGGGGGUGAAAGGCCAAUCAAACCGGGAGAUAGCUGGUUCUCCCCGAAAGCUAUUUAGGUAGCGCCUCGUGAAUUCAUCUCCGGGGGUAGAGCACUGUUUCGGCAAGGGGGUCAUCCCGACUUACCAACCCGAUGCAAACUGCGAAUACCGGAGAAUGUUAUCACGGGAGACACACGGCGGGUGCUAACGUCCGUCGUGAAGAGGGAAACAACCCAGACCGCCAGCUAAGGUCCCAAAGUCAUGGUUAAGUGGGAAACGAUGUGGGAAGGCCCAGACAGCCAGGAUGUUGGCUUAGAAGCAGCCAUCAUUUAAAGAAAGCGUAAUAGCUCACUGGUCGAGUCGGCCUGCGCGGAA
RNAcentral lists this ribosomal RNA (748 nucleotides) under Escherichia coli. RNAcentral's name for it is "partial 23S ribosomal RNA". It matches the Rfam family "Bacterial large subunit ribosomal RNA", at positions 419 to 1168 of the family's 2925-position model. The record is from RNAcentral. Lineage: Bacteria; Pseudomonadati; Pseudomonadota; Gammaproteobacteria; Enterobacterales; Enterobacteriaceae.